UAAUCUUUCUCUUUAAAGUGAGAGUUUGUC
This 30-nucleotide non-coding RNA is filed under the name Rattus norvegicus (Norway rat). The record is from RNAcentral. Lineage: Eukaryota; Metazoa; Chordata; Mammalia; Rodentia; Muridae.